Molecule: ribosomal RNA, 1221 nt
Filed under: Oceanobacillus piezotolerans
Lineage: Bacteria; Bacillati; Bacillota; Bacilli; Caryophanales; Bacillaceae
Description: bacterial LSU rRNA
Rfam family: Bacterial large subunit ribosomal RNA
Source: RNAcentral
UUAGUUAAGUGAAUAAGGGCGCACGGUGGAUGCCUUGGCACUAGGAGCCGAUGAAGGACGGGACUAACACCGAUAUGCUUCGGGGAGUUGUAAGUAAACUUCGAUCCGGAGAUUUCCGAAUGGGGGAACCCACUGUUCGUAAUGGAACAGUACUUAUACCUGAAUACAUAGGGUAUAAGAGGCAGACCCGGGGAACUGAAACAUCUCAGUACCCGGAGGAAGAGAAAGCAAAUGCGAUUUCCUGAGUAGCGGCGAGCGAAACGGAAUUAGCCCAAACCAGAAAGUUUACUUUCUGGGGUUGUAGGACAUUCCAUACGGAGUUACAAAAGAAUUCUUUAGAUGAAUCGAUCUGGAAAGGUCAGCCAAAGAGGGUAACAGCCCUGUAGUUGAAAAAGAAUUCUCUCUGGAAUGUAUCCUGAGUACGGCGGAACACGUGGAAUUCCGUCGGAAUCCGGGAGGACCAUCUCCCAAGGCUAAAUACUCCCUAGUGACCGAUAGUGAACCAGUACCGUGAGGGAAAGGUGAAAAGCACCCCGGGAGGGGAGUGAAAGAGUACCUGAAACCGUGUGCCUACAAGUAGUCGAAGCGCGUUUUUGCGUGACGGCGUACCUUUUGUAGAAUGGACCGGCGAGUUACGAUCGUAUGCAAGGUUAAGUGGAAGACACGGAGCCGCAGCGAAAGCGAGUCUGAAUAGGGCGAAUUUAGUAUGCGGUCGUAGACCCGAAACCGUGUGAUCUACCCAUGUCCAGGGUGAAGGUCAGGUAACACUGACUGGAGGCCCGAACCCACGUAUGUUGAAAAAUGCGGGGAUGAGGUGUGGGUAGGGGUGAAAUGCCAAUCGAACACGGAGAUAGCUGGUUCUCUCCGAAAUAGCUUUAGGGCUAGCCUCAAGAAAUCGAGUACUGGAGGUAGAGCACUGAUUGGACUAGGGGCCCUCAUCGGGUUACCGAAUUCAGUCAAACUCCGAAUGCCAGAUACUUAGACUUGGGAGUCAGACUAUGGGUGACAAGGUUCAUAGUCGAAAGGGAAACAGCCCAGACCACCAGCUAAGGUCCCAAAGUAUACGUUAAGUGGAAAAGGAUGUGGAGUUGCCCAGACAACCAGGAUGUUGGCUUAGAAGCAGCCACCAUUUAAAGAGUGCGUAAUAGCUCACUGGUCGAGUGACUCUGCGCCGAAAAUGUACCGGGGCUAAACGUAUCACCGAAGCUGUGGAUUGUCUUU